UAACGCGUGGAUAACCUGCCUCACACAGGGGGAUAACAGUUAGAAAUGACUGCUAAGUACCGCAUAAGCGCACAGUCUCGCAUGGGACAGUGUGAAAACUGAGGUGGUGUGAGAUGGAUCCGCGUCUGAUUAGGCAGUUGGCGGGGUAACGGCCCACCAAACCGACGAUCAGUAGCCGGCCUGAGAGGGUGAACGGCCACAUUGGGACUGAGACACGGCCCAAACUCCUACGGAAGGCAGCAG
This 243-nucleotide ribosomal RNA is filed under the name uncultured bacterium. RNAcentral's name for it is "partial 16S ribosomal RNA". It matches the Rfam family "Bacterial small subunit ribosomal RNA", at positions 111 to 354 of the family's 1533-position model. The record is from RNAcentral.